UCAGUGAGCAGCAGAUCCCCGCUGAGAACUAAGCACUGUAGCGGGGAAGCCACCCCGGCUUUGUUUUCUGCCACUGCAGACUCAUCUGGAAGAAUCAGAGUGUUUUCUCCUUCUCAGCUAGGUGGCCUCCUUUGCGUUUCUGCCAUGGGCUUUCUCUUACCCAUGAGAGUCUCUUUCCUGCUUUGAGGUAGAGGAGACCAUGCCAGGACUGCCAUGUAGGCUGCCCUGAAGAAAACUGCAUGGACUUACUGAGGCUGCCACAUGUUUUACUUUCUAAGAAGAUGAGAUGAGCCCUCCAUGUUUCAAGGCUGAGAACAGGAAUGUGACCAGGACCUGGAGCCUCCAGGACAAAGCUUCCCUGAGGAGCCUGGGCCCUGGGCUUCAGGGCCUCUGCUCUCAGGCCUUGCCCAGAAGAAUGGAAGAUGCAGUGAGGGACCUGGAGGAGAGUGGACUGCUGUGUCUGGGCUUUGCAGCACACAGUGAAAAGCACAGGCUCUGGGAGCUGAUAUUGUGGAGGAUGUCCCUACACCUACAUCAUUUCUACUUCUGCUGAAAGUGUUUUGACAAGGAUGUGCUCGCUGAUGGACAUGUAUAUCCUUUUUAUGGACUGGACAUUGCUGCAUGUGGACUUAUCACUACUACUCUUCAUGUAGAGUAACACGCCAUCUCUCCCACCAGGCUAGCUGUGCCUUCUGCAGUUUGAGAGUGUGCAUGGAGCAAGCUGAGGGGGCAAGAUGCCAGAGCUAGCCCACAGUGCCGGAGCUAGCCCAUGGUAGCAGAGCUAGCCCACAGGAGCUCUGCCCUAGAUCCUCUUUCCAGGUUUUCAGGGAGUGACUCUCUGCAUCCUGACUUCCCCCAGGGCACUGCCUGGUCCCUGUCUACUGUCCUCCCCGACUCACGUGGGAGCCAGUCUGUUCCCCUACAAUCACUUUGCCAUUCUAGAAAGAACCUUAAAAUUAAUUUUAUCUAAAGGGAAAGAAAAAGACCCUCAGUCCUCUCAAUUUUAUUAGGAACUUAUUGAUUUUAAAGAUAAAUACACUGUCCUCUUUUUCUGAUGAAGAGAGAGAACCACAGGACUCCACUUUUCUGAGGCUCAAUCUCGUUCCAGCAUCAGCAUGUUUACCUGGAUCUCCCUAACUGUACAUAUUGUGAAGCACAAAUCAUAUUCCUAAGAAAGAGAGAAAGCUGAAGACUUUUCAGAAACUCUUUUUUUCUUUUGGGACAGAGUUUUGCUCUUGUUGCCCAGGCUGGAAUGCAAUGGUGCAAUCUCGGCUCACUGCAACCUCCGCUUCCCAGGUUCAAGCGAUUCUCCUGCCUAAGCCUCCUGAAGAGCUGGGAUUACAGGUGCCUGCCACCACACCCAGCUAAUUGUUUUUUGUAUUUUUAGUAGAGAUAGGGUUUCUUCAUGUUGGUCAGGCUGGUCUUGAACUCCCAACCUCAGGUGAUCCACCCACCUUGGCCUCCCAAAAUGGUGAAACUCAUAUUUUAAAUAACAAAGUAGAGACGAUAUAGACACAGAGCUUAGAUUCAUCAUGCCAUACUUUGCAUUUUCUCACCUCAUUUCUAUGUUUACAACCAACUUUUGAC
Long non-coding RNA from Rhinopithecus bieti (black snub-nosed monkey), 1587 nucleotides. Lineage: Eukaryota; Metazoa; Chordata; Mammalia; Primates; Cercopithecidae. The record is from Ensembl.